AUUGAACGCUGGCGGAAUGCUUUACACAUGCAAGUCGAACGGCAGCACGGACUUCGGUCUGGUGGCGAGUGGCGAACGGGUGAGUAAUGUAUCGGAACGUGCCCAGUCGUGGGGGAUAACGUAGUGAAAAUUACGCUAAUACCGCAUACGAUCUAUGGAUGAAAGCGGGGGAUCGCAAGACCUCGCGCGAUUGGAGCGGCCGAUAUCAGAUUAGGUAGUUGGUGGGGUAAAGGCCCACCAAGCCAACGAUCUGUAGCUGGUCUGAGAGGACGACCAGCCAACCUGGAACUGAGACACGGUCAAGACUCCUACGGGAGGCAGCAGUGGGGAAUUUUGGACAAUGGGCGAAAGCCUGAUCCAGCCAUUCCGCGUGCAGGAUGAAGGCCCUCGGGUUGUAAACUGCUUUUGUACAGAACGAAAAGGUUUCUACUAAUACUAGGAGCUCAUGACGGUACUGUAAGAAUAAGCACCGGCUAACUACGUGCCAGCCGCCGCAGUAA
RNAcentral lists this ribosomal RNA (500 nucleotides) under uncultured bacterium. Its description in RNAcentral is "partial 16S ribosomal RNA". It matches the Rfam family "Bacterial small subunit ribosomal RNA", at positions 30 to 523 of the family's 1533-position model. The record is from RNAcentral.